AUGAACGCUGGGGGGGUGCCUAAUACAUGCAAGUCGAGCGAACAGACGAGGAGCUUGCUCCUCUGACGUUAGCGGCGGACGGGUGAGUAACACGUGGAUAACCUACCUAUAAGACUGGGAUAACUUCGGGAAACCGGAGCUAAUACCGGAUAAUAUAUUGAACCGCAUGGUUCAAUAGUGAAAGACGGUUUUGCUGUCACUUAUAGAUGGAUCCGCGCCGCAUUAGCUAGUUGGUAAGGUAACGGCUUACCAAGGCAACGAUGCGUAGCCGACCUGAGAGGGUGAUCGGCCACACUGGAACUGAGACACGGUCCAGACUCCUACGGGAGGCAGCAGUAGGGAAUCUUCCGCAAUGGGCGAAAGCCUGACGGAGCAACGCCGCGUGAGUGAUGAAGGUCUUCGGAUCGUAAAACUCUGUUAUUAGGGAAGAACAAAUGUGUAAGUAACUAUGCACGUCUUGACGGUACCUAAUCAGAAAGCCACGGCUAACUACGUG
This 496-nucleotide ribosomal RNA is filed under the name uncultured bacterium. RNAcentral's name for it is "partial 16S ribosomal RNA". It matches the Rfam family "Bacterial small subunit ribosomal RNA", at positions 29 to 507 of the family's 1533-position model. The record is from RNAcentral.